Molecule: ribosomal RNA, 484 nt
Filed under: uncultured bacterium
Lineage: Bacteria
Description: partial 16S ribosomal RNA
Rfam family: Bacterial small subunit ribosomal RNA
Source: RNAcentral
AUUGAACGCUGGCGGCAGGCCUAACACAUGCAAGUCGAGCGGAUGAAGGGAGCUUGCUCCUGGAUUCAGCGGCGGACGGGUGAGUAAUGCCUAGGAAUCUGCCUGGUAGUGGGGGAUAACGUCCGGAAACGGGCGCUAAUACCGCAUACGUCCUGAGGGAGAAAGUGGGGGAUCUUCGGACCUCACGCUAUCAGAUGAGCCUAGGUCGGAUUAGCUAGUUGGUGGGGUAAAGGCCUACCAAGGCGACGAUCCGUAACUGGUCUGAGAGGAUGAUCAGUCACACUGGAACUGAGACACGGUCCAGACUCCUACGGGAGGCAGCAGUGGGGAAUAUUGGACAAUGGGCGCAAGCCUGAUCCAGCCAUGCCGCGUGUGUGAAGAAGGUCUUCGGAUUGUAAAGCACUUUAAGUUGGGAGGAAGGGCAGUAAGUUAAUACCUUGCUGUUUUGACGUUACCAACAGAAUAAGCACCGGCUAACUUCGUG